Molecule: non-coding RNA, 26 nt
Filed under: Homo sapiens (human)
Lineage: Eukaryota; Metazoa; Chordata; Mammalia; Primates; Hominidae
Source: RNAcentral
GGGAAAAUCAAGUCGCCAUGCACUGC